CUUUAUUGGAGAGUUUGAUCCUGGCUCAGGAUGAACGCUGGCGGCGUGCCUAAUACAUGCAAGUCGAGCGAAUGGAUUAAGAGCUUGCUCUCAAGAAAUUAGCGGCGGACGGGUGAGUAACACGUGGGUAACCUGCCCAUAAGACUGGGAUAACUCCGGGAAACCGGGGCUAAUACCGGAUAACAUUUUGAACUGCAUGGUUCGAAAUUGAAAGGCGGCUUCGGCUGUCACUUAUGGAUGGACCCGCGUCGCAUUAGCUAGUUGGUGAGGUAACGGCUCACCAA
This 284-nucleotide ribosomal RNA is filed under the name Bacillus wiedmannii. Its description in RNAcentral is "16S rRNA. Bacterial SSU". It matches the Rfam family "Bacterial small subunit ribosomal RNA", at positions 1 to 271 of the family's 1533-position model. The record is from RNAcentral. Lineage: Bacteria; Bacillati; Bacillota; Bacilli; Caryophanales; Bacillaceae.